CUACGGGCCGCAGCAGUGGGGAAUAUUGCACAAUGGGCGCAAGCCUGAUGCAGCCAUGCCGCGUGUAUGAAGAAGGCCUUCGGGUUGUAAAGUACUUUCAGCGGGGAGGAAGGGAGUAAAGUUAAUACCUUUGCUCAUUGACGUUACCCGCAGAAGAAGCACCGGCUAACUCCGUGCCAGCAGCCGCGGUAAUACGGAGGGUGCAAGCGUUAAUCGGAAUUACUGGGCGUAAAGCGCACGCAGGCGGUUUGUGAAGUCAGAUGUGAAAUCCCCGGGCUCAACCUGGGAACUGCAUCUGAUACUGGUAAGCUUGAGUCUCGUAGAGGGGGGUAGAAUUCCAGGUGUAGCGGUGAAAUGCGUAGAGAUCUGGAGGAAUACCGGUGGCGAAGGCGGCCCCCUGGACGAAGACUGACGCUCAGGUGCGAAAGCGUGGGGAGCAAACAGGAUUAGAUACCCGCGUAGUC
Molecule: ribosomal RNA, 464 nt
Filed under: uncultured bacterium
Lineage: Bacteria
Description: partial 16S ribosomal RNA
Rfam family: Bacterial small subunit ribosomal RNA
Source: RNAcentral